AAAGUCGUAACAAGGUCUCCGUUGGUGAACCAGCGGAGGGAUCAUUAAAAGAAGCCGAAAGGCUGCUUAUAACCAUCGCGAACCUAUCCAUCAGCGUUGCUUCGGCGGGAGGCCGGCCCCGGAGACGGGGGCGGCCCACGGCCCAACACCUCAGGGUGCGGGGCGCCCGCCGGAGGUACGAAACUCUUAUAUCUCUGUGGAUCUCUGAGUAAACAAGCAAAUAAGUUAAAACUUUCAACAACGGAUCUCUUGGUUCUG
This 258-nucleotide unclassified non-coding RNA is filed under the name Ascomycota sp. Its description in RNAcentral is "partial contains small subunit ribosomal RNA, internal transcribed spacer 1, and 5.8S ribosomal RNA". The stretch from base 1 to 47 matches the Rfam family "Eukaryotic small subunit ribosomal RNA", at positions 1785 to 1831 of the family's 1831-position model. The record is from RNAcentral. Lineage: Eukaryota; Fungi; Ascomycota.